UACGUAGGUGGCAAGCGUUAUCCGGAUUUAUUGGGCGUAAAGGGAACGCAGGCGGUCUUUUAAGUCUGAUGUGAAAGCCUUCGGCUUAACCGGAGUAGUGCAUUGGAAACUGGGAGACUUGAGUGCAGAAGAGGAGAGUGGAACUCCAUGUGUAGCGGUGAAAUGCUUAGAUAUCACGAAGAACUCCGAUUGCGAAGGCAGCCUGCUGGACUGUAACUGACGCUGAUGCUCGAAAGUGUGGGUAUCAAACAGG
This 253-nucleotide ribosomal RNA is filed under the name uncultured Lactobacillus sp. RNAcentral describes it as "partial 16S ribosomal RNA". It matches the Rfam family "Bacterial small subunit ribosomal RNA", at positions 524 to 776 of the family's 1533-position model. The record is from RNAcentral. Lineage: Bacteria; Bacillati; Bacillota; Bacilli; Lactobacillales; Lactobacillaceae.